Molecule: long non-coding RNA, 2209 nt
Filed under: Carica papaya (papaya)
Lineage: Eukaryota; Viridiplantae; Streptophyta; Magnoliopsida; Brassicales; Caricaceae
Description: long non-coding RNA (CPAP_LNC006075)
Source: RNAcentral
AGAAAACUUACAGAGGACGACAAGUAAAUAAAAUAACAUACUUCAUACAUACGCUGCUGCGUUAAAGUGAGCGCCUGAGUUACAGCUUCCACCGCGUUCCGCUGUCUACCAACUGUCAGAGGAUGAGCACCUGAUUCCUUCUGUAAUUACUUCGCUGAUUUGAUUUUCUUUGAAAUGGUACCUCGUUACUUCUCCUAAUCUCCUAUUUCAUCUUCCGUUAGUAACAGAUGAAAGGAAUGAUGACUCCGAUGCCCAUGAGCUGAUGAUCUCCUUCUUUCAACCAGGCAAAAUUCCAACUCCGGAUUCGAAUUUUUGAGGGAUGGUUUUGUUGUCGUGGAGCUUGUUGGCUCUUGGCUUUGUUCUUGGCGUCGUCUCACUCGUUGCAGUGGAAGCAGCGGCUCUGUUGUUCCUGCUGAAGCGAAUGAAUAAGAAGAUUAAACGAACAGAAUCAGCCCCAAAAUUAGCUCAAUCUGUUACAGCAGUCGAUCCUCAGCAAUCCUUGCAUUUUGCUUUGAAUAAGCAGGUAUUUCUUUGCUCUACCUGAUUACAUUUCCCUCUAAUGUCAUUUCAUUGUGUAUAUAAUUAAGCACCAAACUGGACACCCAUCCUUUCCGCUGUUGGUAGCUAAAUCUGAUACGUUCAACGAACUUGUACCAUGCUGUUUAUGCGAGAUGUAAACAAGCAUAGAAGCAUAGCGCGUUGUUUUGGUGUCGGCUUGGGGCUUUUGCUUUGAAUUUUAGGAGCUUCGCAAGUUCAGUUAACCUACUGGAGUAAAUUUGACACACAGCUCUGAACCCUAGUCUUCUUGCAUGCAGGAAGCUAGGCUGUUGCAAGUCUGUGUCAUGAAUAAAAAAAGAAGAGAUCAAAAUUUAUAAUUUUCGUAGGGAAUGCGUGGCUUAUAAUUUGAGAUCAUAUUUUCUUUUAGAAUGUACCUUACUGAGUGCCUUGGAAACCAAAGGAAGAAAGAGUAUUUCGUUCUACCUUCCUGAAACUUUAUGAGCUGCUGAAAAGGCAGUUAGGCGCUGGUUCAUGACCACAGAGAAAACGAGCUAUUUAUGUAGAAUUUCAGUUAAACGUUUAUUUGCUAUCUCACAAGAUAUGUCGUGAAAAGCUGUGUUCCCUUGAAGGUUGCUGCAGUAAGUGGUGGUAUGAUUUUUGGACUAAAUAGAUAUUGCCUUGGAGGGGGAUAUCAUGGACAUGUUGAAAAUUUUCAUAAGAUAUGAUUUUUAUUGUAUUUAUUAUUUUAAUACCUAAAAGGGACAAGAAAUCCUCCUCAAACAAAAAAAAAAAAAAAAGCCACAAUGAAAUUCAAGAUAUCGCUCUAUCCAAGUACCUCUGCAUAAUAGCUAAGGAGAUAUCUCUGAAGGAACUGUGAGUUUGUCCCACAUAGAAGUGAAGGAAACCUAUCUAUCCCAAAGGAAAGACAGUGGAAAAUUAAUACUCGAUAAGUUUGUUUUCCAACUGAUAAUACCUAUAAAACCAACAAAAGGAGCUCCUGUCUAAAGCACCGUAGUUUCUUCUUUGCCCCUGUACUUUAUAGGACACAGGAAAGGAACAUUCAAGGCAAGGGGGAUAAACUUACAUGAAGCCAUAAGUACCAAAGAGCACCAUGCCUAAGCAUCCAAGCACCUCACAAUGCAAAAGGAGAUGACGAUGAGUCUUAGCCUCACUGAAGCACAUAACACACGGAUCCGAGAAAAGAUCAUGGUUAGUUUUCCAACUUGACUAUAAGUACUGAGCUCAUUCAGAAUAGUAGUUCAGAGAAAAGACCUUAGCCUUUAAGGAAAUUUUAGCCUUUUAAAAAGCAUUGGUAAAAGUCUUAUUGUGACAAUUAGAAUAAUGGGUAAAAUGAGAAAAAAGGAACUUAGAAAUGUACAUGCUAGAAAAGUCCAAAAUGGGAGAAUCUCCACUAAUCUUAUUAGAAGCAUGAUUAAUUGCUAAAUUUUACCCAAGUCUUAAAACAAAAAUUUAGGUCAAAGUGGUACAAGGUUGGAAGGUAUGAGGUACCCACCUUGUGGUGUAGAGUUAAUUAAUUGAGGUAUUAAUUUCUGUACAAUUUUAGUAAUCUAUCUACUAUUAGGUAUGUGACUUUUUUUUUUAAAUUCAAUGUUGAUAUUUACAAAUUGCAUUAGGGAUGAGAAGUGUUGAAAAGAUUGAUUGUGGAUGUGUUGAGUAGGAUGUUAAUAUGGGGUUCGAAAAGAGGAGCAGU